GCGGUGGAGCAAAAAGUUUUACUUCACUGCUCGAAAACUCGAAAUAUAUUGAAAAGCUCGUGCACCGAAGCGAAUUUUCUACUGAAACGAGCGAUGUAUAGAUAAUAAAAUUUUCUUUUCAUCGUUUUUCACAACUGAAUCGAAUAAGAAUGAUUAUCUCCACGAUGAUAGGCACAGAAAAUUAAAGUUGAGAUACAUUUAUAUAUGGCUUAUAUCUCAUAUAUAUAUAUAAUUACCAUUUGAAAACAAGAAUACCAAGGGAAGCAACGACGAUGACGGACUGCUAUGAUCACGAGAAAUGAAUGAAGGGAUUUUUUACUCGGGCGUAGCUGCUGCGUGAACCCUGCCGUUGUUUUUGAUGACGUGAUUAUUAUAAGUUUUUCUUUCUGGCAUUGAGGAAGUUUGGAAAUUUGGCAACCCGCGUAUUCAAACAAAAUUAAUAAUUAAUCAAAUUUAUGAAUUAUAACGAGCAAUCAGAACCGUCGUUCAAACCGUAAUACAGUAAUAUACGAAAAAAAGUUUGAAAACGUAGAAAUAAAAGAAUACGUUGAAAAAGUUUCGUAAAGAAAAUUCCGAAAUGGCGUACACUUCUGGUUCGCGAGGAACGGUGAUCGAUCGAUUUCAACUCGUUUCAAUUGACGAAACCAAGCCGGUAUUUAAGGUACCUUUCGACGAAACAUGGAGUAUCGACAAGCUGGAUUUACAGGUAUACUAAUAAACUAUCGUUCCUCUUAUUGUUGCAAAGAUCCGUUAAGACUUGAAUGUAUAACGGCCAUAUUGCGAAUUCGAAUUUUUAUUUGAAGAAAUAUCGGUACAUUUCACGGAUAAAAGUUGAUUUUUUUGGUCAUUGAAUCAUUUACAAGGAUAAAUCCAAAUUGUUGUUUAAAUAUAAAUAGAUACAUUGUAAGACAAUCGAGUGUACUGGCUAAUUUGAAUGUAUAAAAAAAAGUGGAACAUUUUACGAUUAAGAGUAAAUUUUUGAAUAGCCUGAUGGAUUUUUUGUGGAGGUUGUUCGAUCGAAUUCUUUGACAACACCGGAAAAUCCGAAAGCUUCACCGGAAGUCCCGAAGGCACCGAUGAAACCCCGAAAAACAGCGAGACGCGAUGACCUCCCGCGGAGAAAACUCGAGUUCACAGAACCGGAAGUCGAAGAAAAUUUACUUGAUCCCGGCCCCACUUUAUUUCCGCCGAAAACGUCCUCUCAGAACAAUCUACAAACGAUGAAAUCUGGGUCAAAAAAAAUUCAAAUCAGUCGAAAUAUGAGUAAAAAGAAAUUGGCGAAUUGCGAUAAAGAAAAUAAUUGCAGUGUGGCAAAUCGUACGAAAAUUGAUAAAUCUUCAUGUCAAUUUCAUACCACGCCGAAACAACCCUCGAAAAAAUGUUCCAAACCCGAAAGCGAAUUCUCGCAUAUUAGAAUAUAAGUUUUUUGUAAAUAAUUCAUAUUUCAUAAGUUUAUUGAUUAUUCAUAACCUACAAAAUAUUCAAUGUUUUUCCAUUAUCAUUAUUUAUCACACAUUCAGAAUUGAUACAGUUAUUUACUGCUGAAAAUAAUCCUCGUCUCAUCAGUCAUAAUAGUUUAUUUAAUGUGUUUUCGCGUGAAUUGAAUUCUGUGAGCAAUAAAAAAUGGAAUAAUAAUUAUACUUCAAGAUUGAUCGAUUCAAGAGUUACUGAAUAUUAGUUCAAGAGCCAAGUCGAGGCACAAUUUUUGUGCUAUCUUCAUCAGCAGAGUGUGAAGUUAAUACAAAAUAUGAUUUUUUAUGGUUGGAAGGCAAAACUGUUGACUUUUAUUAAUAGUCUCGGAUAUUAAUAGCCGUUUGGAUAACCUAUUUGAUCAAUAUAAUUUAAUCAUUAAGAAAUAUUUUUGGAUUAAACCAACCAACAGAAAAUGUAGUGCAAUUUUUCAAUACUUUGUUUUUUCAUGUCUACCCAAUAAUGACCGUACAGCAUAUACUUUGUGAGCGAUCAAAAUUAUUCAAAAACCACAGUGCAAAGAUAUGCAAGAAACAAGAUUGGAAUUUGUUAAUUCUCAAUGUAACCGUCAUCAAUUUUUUCAUUAAAAACAUUGUUGAUUAAA
Molecule: long non-coding RNA, 2074 nt
Organism: Venturia canescens
Lineage: Eukaryota; Metazoa; Arthropoda; Insecta; Hymenoptera; Ichneumonidae
Exons: 2
Source: RefSeq, a predicted model, not a curated record